CUGAGGAUAAUAUUUCAUAGUUGAAAAGGCUUGGAAAAGUUUUUCAAUGAGAGGGUUAAAAUAAAUGGUUUUUAAUUGCCAUAGGAUAGGAUCGUGCUCGAUUAUGGUAGUUGGUGAGGUAAUGGCUCACCAAGCCGAUAAUCGAUAGGGGCCGUGAGAGCGGGAGCCCCGAGAUGGGUACUGAGACAACGACCCAGACCUUACGAGGUGCAGCAGACGCGAAACCUCCGCAAUACACGAAAGUGUGACGGGGUUACCCAAAGUGUUCUUAUAGAACUGUGGUAGGUGAGUAAUGUUCCCUACUAGAAAGGAGAGGGCAAGGCUGGUGCCAGCCGCCGCGGUAAAACCAGCUCUUCAAGUGGUCGGGAUAAUUAUUGGGCUUAAAGUGUCCGUAGCCGGUUUAGUAAGUUCCUGGUAAAAUCGAGUAGCUUAACUAUUCGUAUGCUAGGAAUACUGCUAAUACUAGAGGGCGGGAGAGGUCUGAGGUACUACUGGGGUAGGGGUGAAAUCUUAUAAUCCUAGUAGGACCACCAGUGGCGAAGGCGUCAGACUGGAACGCGCCUGACGGUGAGGGACGAAAGCCAGGGGAGCGAACCGGAUUAGAUACCCGGGUAGUCCUGGCCGUAAACGAUGCAUACUAGGUGAUGGCACGGCCAUGAGCCGUGUCAGUGCCGUAGGGAAACCGUUAAGUGUGCCGCCUGGGAAGUACGGUCGCAAGGCUAAAACUUAAAGGAAUUGGCGGGGGAGCACCACAAGGGGUGAAGCCUGCGGUUUAAUUGGACACAACGCCGGGAAACUUACCAGGGGAGACAGCAGUAUGACGGUCAGGUUGACGACCUUACCCGACGAGCUGAGAGGAGGUGCAUGGCCGUCGCCAGUUCGUGCCGUGAGGUAUCCUGUUAAGUCAGGCAACGAACGAGAUCCGCGCCUUUAUUUGCCAGCAAGAAGUUAUGACUUCGUUGGGAACUCUAAAGGGACCGCCACCGAUAAGGUGGAGGAAGGAGCGGGCAAAGGCAGGUCAGUAUGCCCCGAAACCCCUGGGCUACACGCGGGCUGCAAUGGUAUGAACAAUGGGCAGUAACUCCGAAAGGAGAAACCAAUCCCGAAAUCAUAUCUCAGUUGGAAUUGUCGGCUGUAACUCGCUGACAUGAACGUGAAUCCCUAGUAAUCGUGUGUCAUCAUCGCACGGUGAAUACGUCUCUGCUCCUUGCACACACCGCCCGUCGCUCCAUCCGAGUGUACUAAAAAUGAGGUUUGGUCAGUCUGGUCAUAUCGAGUUUCUAGUAUGCGAGGAGGGAGAAGUCGUAACAAGGUA
RNAcentral lists this ribosomal RNA (1315 nucleotides) under metagenome. RNAcentral describes it as "bacterial SSU rRNA". It matches the Rfam family "Archaeal small subunit ribosomal RNA", at positions 140 to 1445 of the family's 1478-position model. The record is from RNAcentral.